GGGGUUGUGGCUCGAGUGGUAGUGCACUGACCUAGCAUGUGUGAGGCACUGAGUUCGAUUCUCAGCACCUCA
RNAcentral lists this transfer RNA (72 nucleotides) under Marmota monax (woodchuck). RNAcentral's name for it is "tRNA.Ala". The record is from RNAcentral. Lineage: Eukaryota; Metazoa; Chordata; Mammalia; Rodentia; Sciuridae.